AUUGAACGCUGGCGGCAGGCCUAACACAUGCAAGUCGAGCGGUAGAGAGAAGCUUGCUUCUCUUGAGAGCGGCGGACGGGUGAGUAAUGCCUAGGAAUCUGCCUGGUAGUGGGGGAUAACGUUCGGAAACGGACGCUAAUACCGCAUACGUCCUACGGGAGAAAGCAGGGGACCUUCGGGCCUUGCGCUAUCAGAUGAGCCUAGGUCGGAUUAGCUAGUUGGCGGGGUAAGAGCCCACCAAGGCGACGAUCCGUAGCUGGUCUGAGAGGAUGAUCAGCCACACUGGGACUGAGACACGGCCCAGACUCCUACGGGAGGCAGCAGUGGGGAAUAUUGGACAAUGGGCGCAAGCCUGAUCCAGCAAUGCCGCGUGUGUGAAGAAGGCCUUCGGGUUGUAAAGCACUUUUAUCGGGAGCGAAAAGCUUGGGAUUAAUACCCUCAAGUGCUGACGGUACCCGAUGAAUAAGCACCGGCUAACUUCGUGC
RNAcentral lists this ribosomal RNA (485 nucleotides) under uncultured bacterium. RNAcentral's name for it is "bacterial SSU rRNA". It matches the Rfam family "Bacterial small subunit ribosomal RNA", at positions 30 to 508 of the family's 1533-position model. The record is from RNAcentral.